CUCGGCGUAAAGAGUGGUUAGAAAGAAAUAAACUAAAGCCGAAUGCUCUCUAAGCUGUUAUACGCUCUCGAGAGUUAGAAGCCCUAUUACGAAAGUAGCUUUAUACUAUUGAACCCACGAAAGCUAAGGAACAAACUGGGAUUAGAUACCCCACUAUGCUUAGCCUUAAACUUAGAUAAUAACAUACCUAUAUUAUCCGCCCGGGAACUACGAGCAAUAGCUUAAAACCCAAAGGACUUGGCGGUGCUUAACACCCCCUAGAGGAGCCUGUUCUAGAACCGAUAACCCUCGUUUAACCUCACCCUUUCUUGUCCAUCCCGCCUAUAUACCGCCCUCGUCAGCUUACCCUGUGAAAGACUUUUUAGUAAGCAUAAUUAGUU
Molecule: ribosomal RNA, 380 nt
Filed under: Hypsoblennius gilberti (rockpool blenny)
Lineage: Eukaryota; Metazoa; Chordata; Actinopteri; Blenniiformes; Blenniidae
Description: partial 12S ribosomal RNA
Rfam family: Bacterial small subunit ribosomal RNA
Source: RNAcentral